AUUUUGAUAGCAGCUUUACCCUGUGUACUGGAUUUUGCUUAGGCUUGUGUUGAAACUAUAAAUCUGCUCUACUUUAAGAAGCCUGUGUACAGGAAUCCAGAGUCUCAACAUAUACAGUUAGGAGAUUAUUAUUUGGAUAACAGAGUGCUUUUUUUUGUUAGGGCUGCUUUAAAUAAUAGGCUUUCUAAUUUCAUCUAAAAGAUGUGAUUCAAAAAAGACAAACAAAACCUUUUAGACUAGAAAAAUUAGUUCUGACUCUAGCACUCCCACUAAUUCACUAUGUCAGUUUUGUGCAGCUGUAACAGAAGAUCUGCGACUGGGUAGUUUAUAAAGAAAGAGGUUUCUUCCCCAAUUUCUGGAGGCUGGGAAAUGCAAGAUCGAGGCAAUUGCAUGUUUGGUGUCUGAUGAUGACUGCUCUGCUUCCUGGCUGGCUUCUUGAACGAAAGGCGGGAGGAAGGCUCUUGCUCAAAGCUUUCGUCCAGAAAAGCCAAAGGGCAAGCGAAGGAGGGGAGAGAGGUGCAGACUCCCUCUUUGAUAAAGAAGCUUCUCUGAGAUAAGGCAUUAUCUGUUCAUAAGAAUGGAACCCACAUGGCCUGAUCACCCGUUAAGGGUCCCACUUCUUAAUCCAGUUACCAUGGCAAUUACAUUUCAACAUCAGUUUGGGAGGGCACAGGCAUUCAAACCAUAGCAGCCCCCUUAAACAAGACACUUCACACUUCUGGGCUUCACAUUCCACUGUUUGAAACCUGGAACAGUGAAUUGUGAUCCAACUGCAUGGCUUCUGAGGUGUUUUCUGGUAUGGUGUGAGUCCCGAGAACAUUAUCCUCUAUGGUCAGAGCAUUGGGACUGUCCCCACGGUGGACUUGGCCUCGAGGUAUGAAUGCGCAGCAGUAAUUCUCCAUUCUCCUCUGAUGUCUGGUUUGCGUGUGGCUUUUCCGGAUACCAGGAAAACAUACUGCUUUGAUGCUUUCCCCAGCAUUGACAAGAUAUCUAAAGUCACCUCUCCUGUGUUGGUCAUUCACGGUACAGAGGAUGAGGUCAUCGACUUCUCCCAUGGCCUAGCGAUGUACGAGCGCUGUCCCCGAGCCGUGGAGCCCCUCUGGGUUGAAGGGGCUGGGCAUAAUGACAUAGAGCUUUAUGCACAAUACCUAGAAAGACUAAAACAGUUCAUAUCUCACGAACUUCCUAAUUCCUGAAGACAACAACUUGAUCUUACCUCAUUUACUGUGAACAGAAGAGUCCUCUGUUUUGCACAUGCUUUAACUGGGUAGCUGUAAAGGCUUGAUAACCAUGAAGAAGUGCCCAACCUUUAGGGUGUUCUAAUCAAAGAGCUGAUGAAAUCUCAGUCUUUUGUAUCUAGAGGUGGUUCUGCUAAUUCACACAACAUGUUAAACUGAACAGUCGUGAUUCCCAGCUUCAUUACCUUGCAGGAAUGGGAAUGAGAGCUGAAUGUAGGGACAAUUUUCUAGUGCUGUAUAAAGUAGCCUCGCAUCUGUUUCUCAACCUUACCCAUCAUUUCUGACAUCCAUGCAGGACUUGCCCCUGUCUCCACCAAUGUUCUCAGUAUUUGACAAGCAGCUCUCUUUCUGCCACUGGAUCCAUGGGUUCAAUCCAUUUGUGAAGCUGUGAUAGUGUAACUGGAGAGCUAGUGUGGUGAAAAUUCCUUUAUUAUUUUUUGUUAACAUGCUGAUCUUUCCCCGGACAAAUGAACUGAAGGGUGAUUUACUGGAACUAUCAUGUACAGCUUCAUCAACUGUAACCAUAUAAAUAUAACUGGAAUAUUCUUAAACAAAAAGAAACUAGGGGUUUUUUUAAGUGUAAAUUUAUUACUAGCCAACAGAGUUUUAAUAUUUUGAUUGUCUGGUUGGUUUAACAAAGAGCCUAGCCGACUUUCCUUCUGUAAAGUCCUCCUCAUAGGCUUUUUUAAAGUACUGUACAUAUUUGCAAUCACAUUGUGCAUAGAUUCUUAAUGGUAGAUAUGAUUUCUUUUGUCAGGCUACAACAAUGAACUGCAAAUUCCUUGUUUGUAAUGUAAAUGAUUGAAUACAUUUUGUUAAUAUGUUUUUAUUCCUAUGUUUUGCUAUUAAAAAUUUUAUAACAUUUCCAAGACAAAAAUUCCAAGUUUAUGCUUUGAAGAAUUUAUGUAAUUAAAAUUUCACUAAACUAAUCUUUUUAGUUUAGGAAUUAUUUGGGUUUUGACACUGGAAGUUGCGCCAAAUAAGCAUCAGAAAUAGGAGAUGCUUAACAUUGCUAUACUACUUGUAUUGGUUAGGGGUUUGGAUUUGGGGGUUCUUUGGUUUUAAUUUUUUUUUUUUUUCCAAAUUUAAAAGCCUUAAAUGUACUGUAAACCUCAGAUCGUUGUACAACUGGACUGCGGUUGAUUGCCAGUUUGUGUACUGUUGCUUGGAUGCAGCACAGUGGUUGGUAAUGGAAUAAAGGAUGCAUGGAUCAG
Molecule: small RNA, 2452 nt
Filed under: Pongo abelii (Sumatran orangutan)
Lineage: Eukaryota; Metazoa; Chordata; Mammalia; Primates; Hominidae
Description: processed transcript
Source: RNAcentral